Molecule: ribosomal RNA, 603 nt
Filed under: uncultured fungus
Lineage: Eukaryota; Fungi
Description: eukaryotic LSU rRNA
Rfam family: Eukaryotic large subunit ribosomal RNA
Source: RNAcentral
ACCCGCUGAACUUAAGCAUAUCAAUAAGCGGAGGAAAAGAAACCAACAGGGAUUGCCCUAGUAACGGCGAGUGAAGCGGCAACAGCUCAAAUUUGAAAUCUGGCGUCUUUGGCGUCCGAGUUGUAAUUUGCAGAGGGCGCUUUGGCAUUGGCAGCGGUCCAAGUUCCUUGGAACAGGACGUCACAGAGGGUGAGAAUCCCGUACGUGGUCGCUAGCCUUUACCGUGUAAAGCCCCUUCGACGAGUCGAGUUGUUUGGGAAUGCAGCUCUAAAUGGGAGGUAAAUUUCUUCUAAAGCUAAAUACUGGCCAGAGACCGAUAGCGCACAAGUAGAGUGAUCGAAAGAUGAAAAGCACUUUGGAAAGAGAGUUAAAAAGCACGUGAAAUUGUUGAAAGGGAAGCGCUUGCAGCCAGACUUGCCUGUAGUUGCUCAUCCGGGUUUUUACCCGGUGCACUCUUCUAUAGGCAGGCCAGCAUCAGUUUGGGCGGUUGGAUAAAGGUCUCUGUCAUGUACCUCUCUUCGGGGAGAACUUAUAGGGGAGACGACAUGCAACCAGCCCGGACUGAGGUCCGCGCACCUGCUAGGAUGCUGGCGUAAUGGCUGU